GCUAGCGUUGCUCGGAAUCACUGGGCGUAAAGGGUGCGUAGGCGGGUCUUUAAGUCAGGGGUGAAAUCCUGGAGCUAAACUCCAGAACUGCCUUUGAUACUGAAGAUCUUGAGUUCGGGAGAGGUGAGUGGAACUGCGAGUGUAGAGGUGAAAUUUGUAGAUAUUCGCAAGAACACCAGUGGCGAAGGCGGCUCACUGGCCCGAUACUGACGCUGAGGCACGAAAGCGUGGGGAGCAAACAGG
Molecule: ribosomal RNA, 243 nt
Filed under: uncultured bacterium
Lineage: Bacteria
Description: partial 16S ribosomal RNA
Rfam family: Bacterial small subunit ribosomal RNA
Source: RNAcentral